Molecule: unclassified non-coding RNA, 345 nt
Filed under: soil metagenome
Description: partial contains 5.8S ribosomal RNA, internal transcribed spacer 2, and large subunit ribosomal RNA
Rfam family: 5.8S ribosomal RNA (bases 1-119)
Source: RNAcentral
GAUGAAGAACGUAGUGAAAUGCGAUACGUAAUGUGAAUUGCAAAUUCAGCGAAUCAUCGAGUCUUUGAACGCACAUUGCGCCCCCUGGUAUUCCGGGGGGCAUGCCUGUCCGAGCGUCAUUGCUGCCCUCAAGCACGGCUUGUGUGUUGGGCCCCGUCCUCCGAUCCCGGGGGACGGGCCCGAAAGGCAGCGGCGGCACCGCGUCCGGUCCUCGAGCGUAUGGGGCUUUGUCACCCGCUCUGUAGGCCCGGCCGGCGCUUGCCGAUCAACCCAAAUUUUUAUCCAGGUUGACCUCGGAUCAGGUAGGGAUACCCGCUGAACUUAAGCAUAUCAAUAAGCGGAGGA